This 632-nucleotide ribosomal RNA is filed under the name uncultured bacterium. Its description in RNAcentral is "bacterial SSU rRNA". The stretch from base 1 to 542 matches the Rfam family "Bacterial small subunit ribosomal RNA", at positions 338 to 873 of the family's 1533-position model. The record is from RNAcentral.
CCUACGGGAGGCAGCAGUAGGGAAUCUUCCACAAUGGACGAAAGUCUGAUGGAGCAACGCCGCGUGAGCGAUGAAGGCCUUCGGGUCGUAAAGCUCUGUUGUUAGGGAAGAACAAGUAUCGGAGUAACUGCCGGUACCUUGACGGUACCUAACCAGAAAGCCACGGCUAACUACGUGCCAGCAGCCGCGGUAAUACGUAGGUGGCAAGCGUUGUCCGGAAUUAUUGGGCGUAAAGCGCGCGCAGGCGGUCCUUUAAGUCUGAUGUGAAAGCCCACGGCUCAACCGUGGAGGGUCAUUGGAAACUGGGGGACUUGAGUACAGAAGAGGAAAGCGGAAUUCCACGUGUAGCGGUGAAAUGCGUAGAGAUGUGGAGGAACACCAGUGGCGAAGGCGGCUUUCUGGUCUGUAACUGACGCUGAGGCGCGAAAGCGUGGGGAGCAAACAGGAUUAGAUACCCUGGUAGUCCACGCCGUAAACGAUGAGUGCUAAGUGUUAGGGGGUUUCCGCCCCUUAGUGCUGCAGCUACGCAUAGACACUCCGCCGUCGGGAGGUACGGCCGGCCGACGGCGNGAACGUACAAUAGAGUUAGUACGGCGUGAGACGUGCCGACGGACGACGACGAGGGAGGAGGG